GCGGACGGGUGAGUAAUGUCUGGGAAACUGCCUGAUGGAGGGGGAUAACUACUGGAAACGGUAGCUAAUACCGCAUAACGUCGCAAGACCAAAGAGGGGGACCUUUGGGCCUCUUGCCAUCGGAUGUGCCCAGAUGGGAUUAGCUAGUAGGUGGGGUAACGGCUCACCUAGGCGACGAUCCCUAGCUGGUCUGAGAGGAUGACCAGCCACACUGGAACUGAGACACGGUCCAGACUCCUACGGGAGGCAGCAUG
This 254-nucleotide ribosomal RNA is filed under the name uncultured bacterium. RNAcentral's name for it is "partial 16S ribosomal RNA". It matches the Rfam family "Bacterial small subunit ribosomal RNA", at positions 98 to 353 of the family's 1533-position model. The record is from RNAcentral.